UGGUCCUAACCUUGAAAUCAGUUAUUACUUAAUAUACACAUGCAAGUCUCCGCACCCCUGUGAAAACGCCCUUAAAUCCAUAUAAUGGACAAGGAGCUGGUAUCAGGCACAAAAAUUAGCCCAAGACACCUAGCUAUGCCACACCCACACGGGAACUCAGCAGUGAUUAACAUUGACAAUAAGCGACAGCUUGACUCAGUUAAAGUAAAAAGGGCCGGCAAAUCUGGUGCCAGCCGCCGCGGUUACACCAUGUGGCUCAAACUGACUUUAUUCGGCGUAAAGCGUGAUUAAAGUUUCUGAUUAAACUGCAAUUAAACUGUAAUUAAGCUGUGACACGCUUGUAUACAAGAAACUCAAUCACGAAAGUUAUUGCAACCGUAACAACUUGAACUCACGACAGCUGGGAAACAAACUGGGAUUAGAUACCCCACUAUGCCCAACCGUAAACUUUUACUUACACUUACAUCGCCAGGGAACUACGAGCUAAGCUUAAAACCCAAAGGACUUGACGGUACCCCAUAUCCACCUAGAGGAGCCUGUCCUAUAAUCGAUAACCCCCGUUUAACCUCACCAUUUUUAGCUUAUCAGCCUGUAUACCUCCGUCGUCAGCUUACCUCGUGAGCGUCAAUUAGUGAGCUUAAUGCCCAUACGCCAAUACGUCAGGUCAAGGUGCAGCAAAUAAAAUGGAAAGAGAUGGGCUACACUAUCUAGUUUAGAUAAAACGAAAGACUACUUAUGAAAUCUAGUCGGAAGGCGGAUUUAGAAGUAAGAAGAGACCAAAGAGCUCUCCUUAACUAGGCACUGGGGUGUGUACACACCGCCCGUCACCCUCUUCAAAGCUCAAACAUAGUUUUUAACACAUUUUAGCAUAAUAGAAGAGGCAAGUCGUAACAUGGUAAGUAUACCGGAAGGUGUGCUUGGAAA
RNAcentral lists this non-coding RNA (924 nucleotides) under Xenohyla truncata (Izecksohn's Brazilian treefrog). RNAcentral describes it as "partial 12S ribosomal RNA". It matches the Rfam family "Bacterial small subunit ribosomal RNA". The record is from RNAcentral. Lineage: Eukaryota; Metazoa; Chordata; Amphibia; Anura; Hylidae.